Molecule: ribosomal RNA, 266 nt
Filed under: uncultured bacterium
Lineage: Bacteria
Description: partial 16S ribosomal RNA
Rfam family: Bacterial small subunit ribosomal RNA
Source: RNAcentral
GUCCUAGCCGUAAACGGUGCGCAUUUGCUGUGAGCGGAAUCGACCCCGUUCGUGGCGAAGCUAACGCGUUAAGUGCGCCGCCUGGGAAGUACGGUCGCAAGAUUAAAACUCAAAGAAAUUGACGGGGCCUGCACAAGCGGUGGAGUAUGUGGCUUAAUUCGAUGCAACGCGAAGAACCUUACCUGGCCUUGACAUGCAAGUGGUAGAAGCCUGAAAGGGUGACGACCCCGCAAGGGGAGCUUGCACAGGUGCUGCAUGGCUGUCGU